UUUCCGUAGGUGAACCUGCGGAAGGAUCAUUAUUGUAUAACCGAGAUGCGAGGGCUGUCGCUGACCCGAAAGGUCGUGCACGCCCGAGUGCCCUCACACACAUCCAUCUCACCCCUAUGUGCACCACCGCGUGGGUCCCCCUUUGGCUUGUUCGGAGGGGGGCUUACGUUUUCACACAAACUUUGUAUGCAGUGUAGAAUGUAUUUUUUGUUCUUGCGAUCACGCAAUCAAUACAACUUUCAACAACGGAUCUCUUGGCUCUC
This 263-nucleotide unclassified non-coding RNA is filed under the name plant metagenome. Its description in RNAcentral is "partial contains small subunit ribosomal RNA, internal transcribed spacer 1, and 5.8S ribosomal RNA". The record is from RNAcentral.